Solea solea (common sole) is the source of this 4344-nucleotide long non-coding RNA. RefSeq lists it as uncharacterized. The transcript has 2 exons. The record is from RefSeq and is a predicted model, not a curated record. NCBI's taxonomy places the organism in Eukaryota, Metazoa, Chordata, Actinopteri, Pleuronectiformes, Soleidae.
AAGGAAAUCACAGCCAUACGGGCUACACUCCCCCAGCUGAACUGUAUCUGCGUUUUCAACGGUGAGAGGACAGACUCUAUAUGGCGACGAGCUCCUCCCUCCGCCCUGCCUCAUCUGUCAGCCAUUAGUUAAUCAGAGCUGCUAAGACGGCGCACAGGGAGCUGGCACAAGGCGUGGGACCAGAGGACAGCUUCACCUCCGAGAGCCAGGAGAGGGCAAGGACUCUGGGACCUCUCGUUCACUGAUCCACAGCUGGGCUGCUUCACUCACCAGCACCCACUCAGGGCUGAAAGACACACAACCUCAAGAAGACCCCGCCCACUUCUUCACAGUACACAGGUGAGCCAAAAGGGACACAUGGAAACAGUUAAGCAUCAGAAAGAAACUCGACUUAAUAUCUUGUCAUUCGGCCAAUGCGCCAAACAAACGGUUAAUACAUCACAGAGAAUUUCCAUCUGUUCAACGAUCAGAUGCACUGAUCACUAAGGCCUUAAGCUGUACCUUAACAUUAUUUAAUCCAGUGAGAACCAUAAUUACACUACAAAAGAUGUUCUGUAGGGUGAUAAAAGCAGGAUGUUUUCAUGGAUUAAUAAAAAAAAAUAUACAGAGCCUCUUAAACUUCAUACAGUGAAAAGCCCGUUCUGUCAAAGCAAAGGAUAAACUAACGUUCAUAUCGGAUAUAGUGUGCAAAACUACACCUUUAAAGUCGCAUCUGUACGACUUAUUCGCGAUCACCUCAAAAGAAAUAAUGCAUUGUUAAAUGGAAAAAAAAAAAAAACUGCUAAAAGGUGAUUUAAAGCGCUUUCUAAACAAGACCAUAUCUUUAAAACGUGAGAGCCAAGGUGGAAUUCCAGGCACAUUGCAGCACACUCCUAAUGCAAGAGGAUGGUAAUACCAAGCAUAUGGCAACUGGAGUUACGUAGACGCUUCAAAAGAGGUGGGUGCUGGAUGGAGCAAGAACAAACUUGCAAGUGUUCACUGUGUUAACAGAAGUGCAGAAUUAUACCCUGGGCUAUGCCGGUGUCAAGGUUGUCUGUCUGCUCCUUAUAAGGCCAAUGUAUCGCCUAUGCAAAAAAAUGAUCUAUGCCGCUUUGUUAGAAUAACCAAGUGAUAACUGGGAAGUGAAUGUGCUUGUAGAUAAUGUCAUCAGUAUCACUGUGUUCUCUUCAAGUGCAGAUCAGAGGAGGGAGAUUGAGACAAGCGGGAGGAAGAUUAACAAAAAAAAAAAGUCCUGGAACAUCGAGGCUGCUUCUCUGUUCAGUCUUGUUUUGCGAGAAGUCAAAACAACACAUGUUGUGAGAGUGAGAACAGCUGGUACGUGCGACGUCAUGGGGCAGUGGAAUGUCAGAAGUCAUAGAUCUUUUAUCCACCAGUGCUUUCCACAGCCACCCAGACCUCUCCAAACCAAGCUCAGGGACAAUAUGAGAUUCCAGCAAUGGCGUUUGUGACUUAUCUCGUACAAUGCCUCGUCAUACCAGACAUUUUGAACCGUGGAAAUCAUAGUAUGUGUUAAACAGAGACAAAAAAAGGGGGGGGGAGAAUGCAGUGCAGAUGAAGUGUUUCCAAAUGCUAAGUAUUAAGUAGUAAAGUUACAAAAUCUUAAGAUGAACUGCAGAUGGGAGAAGAUGUUCUUUUUCAUUAUUUGUCCCAAGAUAUAGUGGAUUAUAUUGUAUAAUGUGGAAAUAAUUCCCUUCGCGUCCCAGCAAAUGCCACUCCUGACAGUGCACUUGUGAUUGGCUCAAACUAAACAGCAUAUUCUGAACUCCAUGCCAAAGUUUGACACUGCCAUCUCCAAGGAGUUAAAUAAACACCUGGUCGAGGAGGCAUAUACAGUUUCCUUUUUAAGUCAACACCAGUCAGAAAAGAUACACCAAGCAACCAUAAGUCAAUACAAAAUGACAAAACAGGCAAGUUUUACCGUCUGUCUAAACAUUCCACUGAGAGCGUUUUCCAUUACCAUGUUAUACUGAAACAUCCGCUAGUGCUUAUAUGAACCCCACGCUGCAGAUGGACAAAAAAGGAUUUUUAAAAAAGAAAAAGAAAAAUCAAAUUCCUGAUGACAGAACUUGAAAAACACAAAGGGCAGGCCAGUUAUAAAGUAGUGACCUUUGACACAACACGUCCAAGUCUGACUCCCUCUUCCUGCUAAAUGUUACACAGCUGCUUUUUUAAUCUGUCAGAGCAACUAGUUUACCACAGUUUGCGAAGAGUAAAGGAUGGGAAAGCUCUGAGAACGUCUUCAUCUUACAAGACACUUAUUAUUACUGUUAUUAAGAUCCACGUAUCUGCUGUAUGUGUGUUUUAUUACCACGUAACUACAAGUAUAACACUCAUGAAAAGUAUUCCUUUUGUAGCACCUGACCACCCAUACUACAUAACUACAUCCACUGGAUCUAUUUUUGAAGCUCUGCUGGGCUAAAUCUAUGGCUGUUAGUCUUCACAACGGACUCUUAAAGGAGUCUGAAAUAAUGCACAUCAGGUAGUAAAGUCCUUUAAGAUUCCAGAAGGAGGCGCUUGGAGAUUUGACAAACAAAAGAAAAAGCAAUAGCAGGUAACAAGAGACAAAUACAGCCAACAAGUAGUUGCAAACAGCAACUUCUCAAAAGUUAAAAUGCCAAAACAUCAUCACACUUCUAUACAGCUGCUUCACUUGAUCAAUUAAUUAUUAUUUCAUGUUUUCAGUUUCUCAAAUGUGAGGAUUUGCUGCUUCAUUUUGUCUUACAUUUCAGUAAAUUAUCAAUAUUUAAUUUAGUAAAUGCAACCACUUAAAACUCUGGGAAAUGUGGGAAGACUAUGGUGGGUGCACCAAUACACUUAAAAGGUGAAUUCCUUUCCUUUGAAUGUUGUUUUUUGAUUUUUGUUGCAAGCGGCAAAGACAUUGGAAGAAAUGUUUCAGAUGCGUGAGAGCAUCAUGUACACACUCACAGACUGAAAAGUCCUCACACCUGCGGUCCAGUGAACACAAGACUACGCAUGAAGAAACAGACCUGACAGGUAGACCUUGAACCCCUCCGACUAAGUACGACACAUUCAGAAAAACAGAACAAGGUGAGUACAACUGAUCCCAAACCCUCUCCACUGUUUGCUAAAGCCUCAUACGAGCAGGAGUUUGUGAAGAACUCACUGGAAGUUACAGCUGAAAUGAAGAACCAUGUUACUUACCAUGGCUGACAACACCUAAUAUAUCACUGUCUCUCUCAUAAAAGACAUAUUGAGUUUCACUUUCCCAAUACACUCCAUCGGCUUGAGGUUAAAACAACUUUCUAAUGUUUGACCAACAAGUUGAGGAAAAGCAGGCGCUUUCUACCUGUGUCAAAGUGAGGCCAUGUUCCCCAUCAUUGGUAGUUCUUGGGGUAGAGCGACCUAAGUGCUUCCAGACAUUCACGCCCUGUCUCCUUUCAUUUCAUCUCUUUGCAUCUCUCCAACAAAAUAACAUCUACCCUCCGAGGUUCCUCACUUCAUGUCUUCCACUGUCUGAAAAAAAUGCUGAUGCUUUUCACUGAGUAAAAUGCACGGUGCUUCCAAGUCAACUCUUGUUUCUUUAGGUUGAGUUUCACUCGCACAAGGACAAGAUUGGUAUCAUCAUGUAACUGCUCUUUGAGCUACAGCGAGCUGUGAUGACGUCUGUAUUAGACUGUGCAAUACGGUAACCCCUUUUCUCCUUCAGCCAUGCUCGAUCCAAACACAUUAACCAACAUCUCGCUACAAUCUGUUUUUCUUUGCCUGCAAAAAAGCAGGCCGCUGUGCUCGUCUUCAGACCACUUUUGCUUUCUCUCAAAGGCCAAAGUAAAACAUUAUCUCCCAACUCAGAUUCUAAAUGAAGGCUUGGCAAGAACCACAAUGGAGAGGACUAGGGGCAUGGGUGGGCUGACUGAUCCAGCCACCGCUUUAAUUGGUCACACUCGACUGGCGCAUGGGCAGGAUGAGGAAACACAAGCUCAAUGAUGUCAUGACCAACUGACCCCGGGGUGACAGGUUUGGAGAUUGUUCUUGCCCACAACCCUCAGGCCAAAGUCAAGUGUGGCAAUGUUGCACAUGUGGAUUUCAUCUGAAGCAGCGUGAUUAGUUCACAGAUGCUCAACUGUGAUUCCCCCACCAUGGGAAACCCUCUCUGGACAGGAAACGCUAUGUUUUUGUAAGCAACAAACAGGCAUAAAUUACUAAAAUGGUGCCUCCGUAACCAAUUUAUCACACAGAGCCUCAUUGUUUUUAAUUCUUCAAAUUUGACCUCGACAUUGCUUUUAAGGUAGUAUAAUUUGUUCAUAAUAUUUACAUUCUGCUUCUUGGUUUAUCUAAACUGUGCGUCUGCUAUGCUCAUGCUGUGCAAUAAACGUGAUAAUUGUU